This is a long non-coding RNA of Serinus canaria (Common canary), 3296 nucleotides long. RefSeq lists it as uncharacterized. Lineage: Eukaryota; Metazoa; Chordata; Aves; Passeriformes; Fringillidae. The record is from RefSeq and is a predicted model, not a curated record. The transcript has 2 exons.
UUCCAGAACAUUUCCUCAAGAAGAACCCAUGGACAGCUCAGGACUCACCGGAGCAGCUGCCCAGGACCGACAGACCCUGGGGUAUGAUGGGCAUGAAGGGUUCACCUCCCUCCCAUGAAAUACAGGCUGCCUCUGGCGCUCCACAGCCGGCUCAGGCCCCCAGGCAUGUGCAGCUCUCAGAGCACCUCUCAGCAGGUCUCCAGACAACUUCUGCUGCUUUGAUCUCCUGGCCGAGAGGACAUCGGUUCCACUUCAAACAUGUUUACAACCUGUUUAUUUUUGUGGAACUCGGGGCUAUUUCUGCCACAGAACAUCUCAGAGCUAUGGACGGGCAGAGCCCACUGAUGCAUUCCAGCCCUUUCAUGAAAUCACCUCAAGAAUAAACAACAAUAUUCCCCUUCUGACAUGAUCAGUACCUGACUGCAGAAAAAUACAUCAAGGACCACCCAGCCCUUCGCUCCCUGAUCUAUUCCUAUAGAACAAAGCUGCGGAACAUAAGGUUCUUCUCAAAGGUAACAAGAAAAAAGAAAAUUACAGCUUUAUGUAAUGCCAGAGCACUUCAGCUCUGCUGAAACAAGGACAAGACUGCAGCUCACCAGCAGCCAUGGCUCCGUUGCCUAAAUGAAAUGGGAGGCAGCCUGGGUUUGGGAAGCUCAUGGAGCUCAAGCAGUGCAGCAGGUCCUAGCAAAGCUUGGAGUGAUGGAUGGGCUCUAGGAAGCAGCUCCUGGUCACUCCUGGCAGAACCACCCCAGACCUGACCACCAGCUCACAGGGCUCUUCCUUUGCUUGGUACUUUAAAGCAAGAAAAACGAUGUUAAACUCUGCAGUGUUGCUCUCUUGGGAGCAAUGUUGCUGCAUGCUUGUUUGGGAGGGAAAAAUUUAAAGAAAUUUAAAGAAAUUAGCGGCUGGAAUGGCCUGUGGUCAGCAUCACUUGACCAAACUGGUCCAAAAAUUCUCAAAUUCUUCAGUACAGACCUUCCCCACAUCUCCAUUUACCAGUUUGCCAUCUCCAUCAGCACAGAUUUCAGGAUCUUCUUUCCAACAACACGGACGUGUCCCUCUGUAAUCCUGAUGACACCCAGCACAUGGGUUUGUCUUGUCACUUUGCUGCUUGGCUGAUUUCCCAUGUGUGGGAAUAUUUCCCCGCUUUAGUCAUUUCAGAAACCAUCCAAAAGCUUUUCCACUUGAAUAAGAGCGAGCCCAGGAUGAGUUCUGGCUCUGGGGAGGAGAGCUGGAGCUGCUGUCCCACAUUCCCAUCUCCGGGCGCAGACGGAUGGUGCUCGAUGGUGCAGAGGGAGGAGGUGACAGGUACAGAAUUCUGGCACGGAGCUCAGAGCCUGCUGCUAGUGCUGCAGACAGCGAGGGAGCAAGCAGAGAGUCAGCAGUGGAAGAGUUCUCAGCAUGAGCAAGCGCUGCAGGCACUGCAGGAAGGAAGCUGCAGCACCAGCCUGGUGCCAGCACAGGUGUCCUUGUGCCAGGUGAGCUUCAGGUGAUUGGACAUGGUGACAUCUUAACAGGGAAGGGCAUUUCAGUAACAGCUGCACAACUGGUUUGAGCCAGAGAGUUACCAGUACCACCAGCAAGCUACAGACCCAGCAGUGGCUGCUCUCACAGUCCCAGCACCGGGACAGGCAGGGGGAGACGGGGCAGGGCAGGGAGUGGAGGCAGCCACAGCUCCACACAAACCUGCCUGGACAGGACCUGGAGUCACAGAAUGGCCUGGGGCUGGAAGGGACCUUAAAGCCCAUCCAGUGCCACCCCAACCUUCCACUGUCCCAGGCUGUCCAAGCCCUGUCCAGCCUGGCCUUGGGCACUGCCAGGGACCCAGGGGCAGCCCCAGCUGCUCUGGACACCUGUGCCAGGGCCUGCCCACCCUCACAGGGAAGGAUUGCUUCCCAAUAUCUCACUCCACCUUUUACUCAGCAGCUGCAUUUUCUGCUCCAUCAAUACCCCCUCCCUCUUCCUCUCUGUCCAAAAGGCUGUCAGCUGACUCAAAAUCAGGCUGGAAGGUUUUAUGUUGAACCGAGUGCUUUCAAACUGUGUUAAAGCUCUUAAUUAUUAAUAGAAAAGUUGUAAUGUGGCAGCAGGGAGCCAAAGCGGCAGUUUAGGAGGGAAGUGUUGGUAAAUCAGGAGCCAGUGCCUUAGUCAUGGCUUCUCCAUCGUGCCACAGCUUCUAACAUGAGAUAAUGCUGCAAGGCUGGGUGCAUUAGUCACCAACAAAUUCUGUUUGCAAUUAAGCAGAAUUCAACAGCCCUCCAGAAAUCUCACUCCUCUCUGGCAUUCAAUGCACUGCAAUCUUACAUCCCCCUGAAAAGAAAACUCUCCCAUCUGCCACCCCAACAACCAUAUGGGAUCCUUGGAAAAUGAAGGAAAUUAAAGUCCCUGUGGGAUCACAGCUCCCAGCUCAGCUGUGGGGGGUUUGGGAGGAUCAAAUAUUUGAGCUAAACACAUCCUGUGCCCCAGGCGGCCCCACGGCACUGCCGAGCUGGCUCUGCCAGCCACCAGCAGCUCAACCUGAGCUGUGUGCCUGAGGGUGACCUCCUUUUGGGAGCUCAGAGCUGCAGGGAAGUGAGGGAUACAGAAGGACACUGUCCUUGCUGCCAGCCUCCACCACCUGCCCUGGGGGAGGGCAGCCCUGACCCCUGCCCAAGGCUCCGGUAGGUCCAGCCCUGCAGCACCCACCCCGUGCUGCCCCAGAGCCCUGGCAGCCUGGCUUUGGGUGCAAAGUGAGGGCAUUUGGUCCUUGUUUCCCCACGCUGAGCCCUCCUCUGGCUGGCAGAGCUGUUCUGCUGCAGGAGCCAGGAGGGACCCUGGAUGGCCAAGGCAGGCAAUGGGGGAUCCCCUGCUCUGCCCCACAUGCUCCCAGGGGGAAAAACAGUGCUCUGCCACCCCCCAAGGAGGGUACAGACUUUGGGAUGGCAGCAGCAACUCCCCCCAGGAGCUCUCCAAAGGGGGAGAGGUUCCUUUCACUUUUUAAGCAGUUUCUGGAAACGACCAGAACAGUUAUUCCCCACUGCAAAAAAUUCAUUCCUGGCUAAGGAAUAUUCCCAACAUAACUUGAUAGGAGGCCACUUCCAGGCUCAGAUCCUAACAGAAAACAAAGACAGUUCCUUUGAGCCUCAUUAGCACCACGGGCUCAAACUCUCAUUUUUUAGAGUGUAAAUCUCCUCUCUGCACAAGGAGCCAACACUGCCCACGGAGAGCACACACAGUGGAAAAACAAUGGGAUUACUUGGGCCUGAGAAGGUGAUUGAAAAUAAUGGAUGAGUAAAGACAAUGCAUAAUAAUUUUCUGCA